This is a non-coding RNA of Musa acuminata subsp. malaccensis (wild Malaysian banana), 784 nucleotides long. Lineage: Eukaryota; Viridiplantae; Streptophyta; Magnoliopsida; Zingiberales; Musaceae. The record is from RefSeq and is a predicted model, not a curated record.
CCACCCCUCCUCAUCCGCUUAUUCCUCUUCCUCCUUCCUCCUUCGCCCUCCUCAUCCGCUUCUUCCUCUUCCUCCUCGUCCGCCCUCGAGAUCUCGUCGGCUACAUGGAGGACAAGGCCGCCGCCCUGUGAUCUUCCCACUACAGAGAUGGACUUACGCCCCUCCCCUGCAUCAAGCUCUUCUAUGCACCGUCUUGUCCAUGUGCUUGUCAAGUCUCGGGAGGGUUCUUCAUUUGACUUCUUUCUGAACGAAGGAACAACUUCCUUCGCUUGAUGGAUCAGUUGGAAAAGGAGUUGUUCUGGGGGGAGAGAGCACAAUUCAGCAACUUUAUGGUGCUAAAGCCACUUGUGAUGGUUCUCAUGCUAAAGAUUAGCCCUUCUUCAACUAGCUUUCCAGCUUGUGUCGCAAGCCAUGGGGGGAGGGGAAGCAAAAGCAGUAGCAGCAACAGAGUCUUAAAUGCCGCAAUGGCAACUUGUGAUAUUCCCUGUGUAGCUGACCAUAUGCUGCUCUCCUUGAGUGCCGUAGAUGAUGUGCCUCAAAUCUUAGCUUGCUUGGUUGGUGGGUUCAUCCUGACUGAUGUGGCAGGAAACCACCGAUCAUUAUAUUCAUGACAGGUUAUUGUGGUAAGGCCCAUUUACCUAUCGUCUAUCAAAGAAAAUGUACACUACUGUGGUGAACCUGUAAGCAGCAGCUCAAAUCUGUGUUUCACUAAAUUGUGUAGAUUUGUGAUGUAUGUACAUCAUGAGUGUUUUUGGCUUGGUCAAAUGUAAUAUAAAACACACAC